GGUUGCAUGGUGUAGUGGUUAACAUAUCUGCUUUACAUGCAGAAGAUCCUGGGUUUGAUCCCCAGUGGAGCCA
Molecule: transfer RNA, 73 nt
Filed under: Loxodonta africana (African savanna elephant)
Lineage: Eukaryota; Metazoa; Chordata; Mammalia; Proboscidea; Elephantidae
Description: tRNA-Val (TAC) (tRNA-Val-TAC-27-1)
Rfam family: tRNA
About the family: Transfer RNA (tRNA) molecules are approximately 80 nucleotides in length. Their secondary structure includes four short double-helical elements and three loops (D, anti-codon, and T loops). Further hydrogen bonds mediate the characteristic L-shaped molecular structure. tRNAs have two regions of fundamental functional importance: the anti-codon, which is responsible for specific mRNA codon recognition, and the 3' end, to which the tRNAs corresponding amino acid is attached (by aminoacyl-tRNA synthetases). tRNAs cope with the degeneracy of the genetic code in two manners: having more than one tRNA (with a specific anti-codon) for a particular amino acid; and 'wobble' base-pairing, i.e. permitting non-standard base-pairing at the 3rd anti-codon position.
Source: Rfam by way of RNAcentral